GACGAACGCUGGCGGCGUGCCUAAUACAUGCAAGUCGAGCGGAUGACGGAGGAGCUUGCUCCUCCUGAUUCAGCGGCGGACGGGUGAGUAACACGUGGGCAACCUGCCCUGUAGAUUGGGAUAACUCCGGGAAACCGGGGCUAAUACCGAAUAAUCCUUAGGACCUCAUGGUCCGAUGUUGAAAGACGGUUUAGGCUGUCACUACAGGAUGGGCCCGCGGCGCAUUAGCUAGUUGGUGAGGUAACGGCUCACCAGGGCCACGAUGCGUAGCCGACCUGAGAGGGUGAUCGGCCACACUGGGACUGAGACACGGCCCAGACUCCUACGGGAGGCAGCAGUAGGGAAUCUUCCACAAUGGACGAAAGUCUGAUGGAGCAACGCCGCGUGAGUGAAGAAGGUUCUCGGAUCGUAAAACUCUGUUGUGAGGGAAGAACAAGUACCGGAGUAACUGCCGGUGCCUUGACGGUACCUCAUUAGAAAGCCACGGCUAACUACGUGCCAGCAGCCGCCGUAA
This 514-nucleotide ribosomal RNA is filed under the name uncultured bacterium. RNAcentral describes it as "partial 16S ribosomal RNA". It matches the Rfam family "Bacterial small subunit ribosomal RNA", at positions 28 to 523 of the family's 1533-position model. The record is from RNAcentral.